This is a long non-coding RNA of Mesocricetus auratus (golden hamster), 448 nucleotides long. RefSeq lists it as uncharacterized. Lineage: Eukaryota; Metazoa; Chordata; Mammalia; Rodentia; Cricetidae. The record is from RefSeq and is a predicted model, not a curated record. The transcript is spliced from 5 exons.
UGUUUGUGUGCAUGUAAGCGCAUGCAUCCAUAGUGUAUGUGAGGAGGUCUGAAGACAACUUGUGGAACUCACUCACUUCUCUCCUUUUACUAUGGGAUACAGGAUUAAGUGGUGACUAAGUUUCAUUAAAGAAAAAACUUCUUCAGUUUCACCUGGAAGGAUGUUGUCCCUGCACUCGUGAUACUGGCUUUGAAAACAAGGAUGCCAGAGACCCAGAUAUCAGUGUUCCUUCUUUUGGCGUCUUGCUUGCUUGAAAUGUGAACCCUUAUUUCUGCUGCAAUGCCUCUGCUCUGUGGUCAUGGACUCAACUCCUCUGAAACUGAAGAUUAGUACAGAAUUAUUGGAAGAAGACAAAAAAGAAUGUUUCUUGAAGAGUUGAUAUGCAUCCUAAAGACUGAACUUUCAAAUAAGCAACAAGGAGAUGGUAUAAAGUACUCUACCAGGCAUG